Long non-coding RNA from Peromyscus californicus insignis, 13280 nucleotides. RefSeq lists it as uncharacterized. The transcript is spliced from 4 exons. Lineage: Eukaryota; Metazoa; Chordata; Mammalia; Rodentia; Cricetidae. The record is from RefSeq and is a predicted model, not a curated record.
GUCGCUCACCGUGGAGCCUAGACUGGCUGUAAAUGUGCGUUCCUCUUGGAAUGGCAGAUACCUGCUUCUUUCGGAAUUGCAAGUCUGGGCUUUGUGGGCCAGAACUCUAGUCAAAGAACAAACAAAGGCUGUUUUCACUCAUCAUGUGGAGAGAUUUGAGGACUCAAUGAAGCAAGACUCUGGAUGAUCACACACUUCAUCUGAGGACUGGAGCGAUUGCUCAGAAGGUGAAGAAGUGCUUGUCACAUGACUACAAGGACCCUGGUUCAGAUCCACAGCACCUGACAAAAAGCCAGGAAUGGUAGCGUAUACCUGUCACCCCAGUGCUGCAGGGUGGAGACAGGAGGGUUGUGGAGGUUCACUUGAAAGCAGUCUAGACAAAAUGGCAAGCUCCAGGCUCAGUAAUCGACCCUAUCCCAAAAAUAAAGUGAAGUGACUAAGGGAGACACGGGAAGUUGACCUCUGGUAUACGUAAGCAAAAGCACCUGUGCACACAAUUUCAUUUGAGGCAAGGCCAGUCAGUGUUAAAUCUGCAACCUAGAUUUAAGGGAGGCACAUGUCAAGAAAUGUUGAGUCAUGCUGCUUCUGUGCAUCUAACUUUACAAGGGCAUUUUCUUUUUUUACAACCCAUUCUACUGGAUCCGCAUGACAUGCUGUCUCAUUUCAGUAUGUGCUCAACUGGAAAGGAUGACCUCAGAUGAGGUCUCCAAACUCCAAACUUUUCCAAGACAACACACACACACACACACACACCACAGAUUGAGAGAGAGAGAGAGAGAGAGAGAGAGAGAGAGAGAGAGAGAGAGAGAGAGAGAGAGAGAAUGCAGUUGGAAUCUAUGCUAGAUUUCUAGGAAAACCUGACAUUUUGAGUUAUCUAUCAUCAACCUACAAAAAAAACAUCAUUUGUGGUUCAGAAAAAUUCGCCCCAGAAUAUACAAACCAACACCCCUGGGCAGCUGCUAACUACACAAUGACACCAUAGGAGUGUUGGUCUUGUUCAUAGAUAUUACAGUGCUGGAGAUGAACGGAAAUUAAUCCACUGUGUGUUCAUAGCCUGACUGUUACACCCGACAUACCCUUUCAUAUAAUAGCCUGUGCUCUAGGCCAGAGAACGGGAGAUAAAAGGAGGUCAUUAACUCAAAUACUAAAUGAUAAUGGAAUUUUCUUCUUAAUCAGAUUUUCUGAUUACCUAAGCCUUUGGCAGGACCGACUUUUGCAAAAAAAUCAGCUUUCUGAAAUGUCUGAGUCAUUCUGAAGCAUGUACUACAGAGAACAACUAACUCUGCUUCACGGUUUUGUGAUCAUCAUUCCACACACUAACAUGUGUGCGCACAUGUGUGUGUGCGCGCAUGCGUGUGUGUGUGUGUGUGUGUGUGUGUGUGUGCGUGUGUGCAUGACAUAACCUAUUUUUAAACUCGUUCCUGAAAGGAUCCCAGUUCUGUUUAGGAUUGGAGAUGGCUACUUAAUAAAUAAAUCUGCCUGCCUGGUAGAUGCCAGCAAUUCCUAUCUGCUGUGAUUGGUGGGUCCAGGUUGUUGGGUUUUUUUUCCCCAGACAGCUUUUCUGAGUUCUAGAUGUUUAUUCUUAUUCUAUAUCUUUGUCUGGAGUUUGUGGGAGGUAUUUGUGGGCCCUGAAUAAGAAACGCCAUCUGGGGUUCAUUUCUUCAGUUCUGUUCAGAAAGAACAUUGUGGGCAUGUAAAUCUCAAACUGCUGAGUGACUCUCUGGCUACUUCUGAUAAAAUCUAAUGGGAACCAGGGCCAUGUCCCCCCACCCCCCAGGGUGUUUCCCAGUCUGAGAUUUCAUGGUUGCCCCACAACCCACUUGAAUAGCCGCCUCUAAUGGCAUCAGGUUGGCAUGCUUCGUGUCUCCCUGAUAGGCCUGCAGACACGCUUUGCAACAAAUUACCCUGGCUCUGCCUCCUGCCCACAAUUACAUGUGCUCACUUGUAAAUUUCCAGCCAGUACACUUGAGGCCACUUCCUUAGGGUCCGGGAAAGCUGUUAUUUUCCAUUAGUCUAAUGUCUCAAGACUGGGGAAGGCUCAGGCAUGGAGUCACUUUGUUUUCUGUAUAUUUUACACAAAUGUAAAAGUUUUUUUUUUUUUUUAAUGUAUUCUGUCUCCAAAUUGCCAGGGGAUUUACACUUAUGACCUAAUUGUGAUCAAUGUCCCACUGUCCCAAUUCACCAUCCCUGAGCCUCAGGAGGCAAACACGUGAGCUACACUAAGGGUACAUCUUCAGCUAGCCUGCCAGAGAGCAAAAGUCAUCCUUUGCUGUCUAGAAGGCAAACUUCCUUUCUCCUACAUGAAAACAAUCUACCCGAUUCACAAUCACCAAUAACAGAACCUCUGGUUCAAAGCCUUUCAUUUGAAAAAGGUUUUAAACACUGAAAAGUGGAAGUUGAGUGUAGCUGGAAGUUUUCCUGUGUCCUGCCUGAUCCCGCAGCCACUUGGUCCCAAGUAAACACACAGAGACUUAUAUUAAUUACAAACUAUAUGGCCUAUGGCUCAGGCUUAUUAUUAACUAGCUCUAAUAACUUAACUUAACCCAUUUCUAUUAAUCUACAUUUUGUCAUGUGGCUUCGUGAUGUUCCCUGUUCUCUCACAUCUUGCUACUCCUGGCAGUGGCUAGCAGCAUCUGUCCCAACUCCUCCCUUCUCCUCUCUCUAUCUCUCUUGGAUUUUCCCACCUGGCUCCAUCCUGCCCUGCUAUAGGCUAAUGUAGCUUUGUUUAUUAACCAAUGGGAGCAGUACAUAUUCACAGCAUACAGAAAGACAUCCCACAGCAGUUGAAAGCUUAGAUGUCUCAUCACCCCAUCUUUACAAUAACAACAAAAUAUCUUGAGCCCUCUGGAAAUCAAUCACAUUUCUUGGGCCAUCAGGGAGCGGAGGUCCCAGGCCACCCACCACCUUGAAUUCUGAAGAGACUGUAGACAGAAGACACAGCACUGGGUGGCUUAGGGAGCAGAGGCCACUUGGGCCAUCAGUUCAGAUUUUGGGAUGAAUUUCUCCAGGCCGUAUGUACACUGCUACAAAAAGUGUGUGCUGGGGGGAAGGGGUGGCUUUCAAUUUCAGAGAUACCCCACCAUACCGGAGAACAUCCUUUUAGGAAACUCACUCAUUUCAUAAUGAAAAUCAAGACAAUCACACUAGAUACAUGUUGAGGAAAGAUGGGAAGUAAUCAUUCUGAACUAUGGUCAGUGUGAUUUCCACAACAAAAUGCAGCACUUCAGUGACGAAGACUCCAGUAGACCCUAGCUUAGCUUAAGGAAAAGAGCAACUGCCCAACCCCAGCCCUUGUCAGGCUUGUAUCUCAUGCAAAAGGGCGGAGAACAAACAAGCUGAGGAGCCGGUAGCCCACAGGUAGAGGUCUGUCAAAAACCGACAUAAUCUUAAGACUGUAGAUGUUACCUGUCUCCACUCCUUACAGCCUCAGUAACUAUUUUUCAAACCUCCUUGAAGUAUAAGUCAUCAAUAAGAAACAGGGACCAAUUCCCGUGUGCUGGAGAGACCAAACAAACAUGACCUCAGCCAGGGGACCGGCAUUAAUGUCAAUGUCGAUGACUCCCAGUGACAGCAGGUGUUUGAUGAGCUAGGAUGAAAUGGCACCUCAUGAGCUUCCUUUUAUAAACAACUACUCAGGAGCAACUAUCAGACAGAUCGCAACAGAUCAUCCUGCAGAAUGCUUGACCUCAUAAGUGUCCAGGUCCCCAGAAUAAAAGGGAAAUCUGAAAAACUGUCACAGCCCAAGGAAGACACAGUGGCUGUGGGUAUCACGGGGUACUGGAAUAUAAAAAGAUAGUAGGUAGCUGGGCACGUCUAUAAUAGUUAGAAGCUGUUUUUAAAACUAAAUUCUUUUUUUUUAAUGUAAAACAAAAUGUUAACACACUGACAGUAGGUAGGUGGUGGUGCACAUCUGUUAUCCCGGAACUAGGAAAGUGAGACAGGAAGAUUUGAGGGUUGAGGAGGAUCUGAGGGUUGAGGUGCACCUUUGCUGUAUUGCAAGACCUUGUCGCAAAUUUGGGGAUGGUGUGUGGAAAGGACAUUAUUUAAAAAUUAAGCAAAUACAAAUACACUCUGGCUUCUAGUUGAUAAAAAAAAAAAGCAUCAAUACUGGUUCAUAAAUUCUAAAGCAGUGGGUCUCAACUAGGGGUGGCAUAUCAGAACUCCUGUAUAUCAGAUAUUUACAUUAUAAUUCAUAACAGUAGCAAAAUUAUAGUUAUGAAAUAGCAACAAAGUAAUUUUAUGGUUGAGGGGGAGGGGAGUCACCACAACAUGAGGAACUGUAUCAAAGGAUCGGAGCCUUAGGAAGGUUGGGACUCACUGGACUAAAGCGAACUGCCCAUCAAGUAAAACAGGUGAUGCUAUCACGACUUUUCUGUGAAUUGAAAGCUGCUUUAAAUCCUUUUUUUAUUGUAAAACAAAAUGUUAACACAUUGAGAACUGGAAAACUAACACACUUGGAUUAUUGUGGGUUUUUUUUCCCCCUGAUAUUCCUGAGUUUGUAGUCUCAAGGGGAGAAAGUAUGCCAAUAUGAGGAAAAACAAUGUUUCCUGACACCAACACAGUAACAAAACAGGAUAAAAAAUACAGCUUUAAUCUUCCAAAAUGUUUAAAUUUAGCUUAAAGUACAGAAACAAAUGCCACUGUGUAUUAAACUAAUUUAAAAGGUUUUAGUUAUGGCCUCCAAACUGUUCAUUAUUUAUCCUGAGUUCACUUGGAAGCAGCAUGGAUCGCCUGUCGGUUUGGCACGGUGCCUCGCCUCAGCUGUGAGGUUAACUCAGAUUCAGUGCAGGAUUUCAAGGGGUCCUGUCAGGUGGGGCAAGCGGCAAACAGAAAAUACUACAGUUGCUCCAGAUCCCAAGCUGGAGGACAGACAGAGCUGAGCUAUAGGGACACAAGAGACCAAGAGGGAGGGAGAAAUUAGAAGGGUCUUCCUGGAGGAGGUGGCAGGUCACCGGAGAUCACAGGCUUCCUGGAAACUCCAAGCCCUCGAAGGUGAUAAGGGAAUCUCUUUGUGGCCAUGUUCUCUAGCACAGGAGGCAACAUGGGCGAGGCCCUGACUUCUGUGGGAGAACUGUGGAAGCAUGCCGUGGUGAGUAAACAGCCAUCAUUUGAAGGGACUGCAGACCCCAAUGCCCUGUCUGUUACCAGUUGUCACUGUGCACCCCAGUAGGGCCAGCUGAAGAGUCCUCAGCCCCUCCUCUGUAGUUGGGACGAAUGCUUUAGUGCUCCAGCAUACAGGCCUAGAAUCUCAGCUACUAGGCUGAGGCAGGGGAUCACUGGGUUCAGUUGUAUAGUGAGUUCAAGACCAGACUAAGCAACUUAGUGAGACCUUAGCUCAAAAUAAGAAGAAACACAUAAAAGGGGUCUGAGGAUAUGGAUAUAGCUCUGUGGCAGAGUGAUAGUGGGGUGUGGCGUUCAGGCCCCAGCAGAAAAUUAAGCCAAACACAUGAAAACCAGAAAGCAACUUUCCUCGUUGACUCAGAAGUUUAGACUAAGCAUGUACUAUUUUGCUCCACAGACGAGCUUGGAUGCUGUCGUCAAGAAGGUACUGGUCUGCGCUGGAACAAACUAUAAAGGUCUUGGGGGUCAAUGGAAUAGAUGCUUUUCACAAUCCUGGGCUGGUGCUGGGCAGGUAACCAUUCAGGAGCCCGCCUCCUGUGGCCCUGCAGCGCCACCUUGCUUUAGGGCCUUAAAACUGGGGCCAGGUUGGAAGACAGGGAAAGUGUUACCUACCUGCAUCAGAACAUCAGCCUUACAUCAGCUUACCUCCCACCAGCAAAACCCACAGGGCUGGGUGGGCUGGGCAUCAUGCUCCUUAACUAGACAGCACUUGCCAGCCGCUGGUCUACACCACAGAGCCAGAAGGGACAUCUUCAGUGGGGGCUAGCCAUCUUGGCCUCCCUGGGGAGACGCAGAGACCUAACACAAAUCUGACCCCUUCUCACAGCCUCGAGAAUCCAACGCACAAAGCAGAAAGAAUUAACUUCUAAUUUCACACCCGCUGAAUAGAAGUUACAGUAGCUAAAAAUAACCUGGAGAAAAAGCAUAAAAGCUUUGUACUGGGAUCUCCCAACGUGCUGCCUGGGUCAGAAGGCCAGCACUUGCCCUUCGGCCAUGGAACACAAAUAAAUACAGAGGCAGAACUAUUCUGUACAGAAAUACAGAUUAAACAUCAUCUAGUGAGUGACAAUGUGGCACCCCCUCACCUCUGGCCUCAUUCCGGCGGCGAAGUCUGGGUUCCAUCCACCCUUGCUGUACCAACAAAGCAGGCAUCAACUACUUUUUAAAAAUUCAAGACGGCCUGGUCUUUAUUUCCUCUAUGUUUAUCCCCUUGCCAUCCCUAGGAGGCUGGAGUCUGACCCAGUGUCUGCCUGGGAGUCAGAAAGCAUUAUUUCUACUGAUCAUCACCACCUUACCCACCAGGGGGUUCCAGCAAAGAUCCUGGAGAGGAUUUUUGGAGUGGUGGUUGUUUGCUUUUGUUCUGAUCACGGGGUCUCUCUGAGACAGCCACAUCAUCCUCGUUGCACAAUGGGAAACAUCCAGUUGUUGCAAUAUAAUCCCACUAUGAAGAAAUUUUGUUUACUAUGAUGCUCUCUUGGGACUGCGAUGGAAAUGGCAACCUGGGUUCACCUCUCCCACAUUCUUCCAUGCUCCAGCAGCCUCUUGGGUGGAGCAGAGGCUGUCAUGCCCAUUUCCCUCUUACCUGUCCCUGGCCAAGAGAACAGGAGACAGACUAGGGUCAGGAGAGCUUGGUAUCCAUGCACCCACUUUCUGGACCCUUGCUUUCUUCAUGCUUGUUGAUUUUGAUGUUGUUUACAAUACGGUGGACACAAGAUGAGCCAGCAAGACGCCUCAGUGGCUGAUGGUGCUUGCUGCCAAGGCAGAUGAUCUGAGUUCGAUCCCCAGGUCCCACAUCAGGGAAGGAGAGAACUGACUCCCAAAAGUUGUCCUCUGACUCCCACAUGCAUGGCAUGACGAACAAGAGGGCACAGGAGUACAUACACACACACACACACACACACACACACACACACACACACACACACACACACAUCUUAAUAGGAAAAGAAGAGACAAGAUGAACCUUCUUCCAACUCCCUUACCCUUCUGCCUCACCAAGUACUGAGGACAUUGAGAGCUGUCUGCACCUUCUUGCUCCUGAGUGGGAAGUCCCCAGAGGUGUGACAGACCUUCAGGCACAGACUGGAUGUCUGUAUUGCCCGGUGUGACCCUACUCAAACUCCACUUUCAGGUGAAUGAAUUUAAGGUCUACACCCCCACCCCAAAGUGACUAUUACCUUGCCACAGUGACAGAUCAAGACCUAGUGUGUCCUAGAGGAUUCAAAUCCUGUCACCACAGCUUGGAUAAUGGUGAAGGGCCUACUUGACUUAGUUUGCUUGGGGAUUUGGUAGGGUUGUAUGAAAAAGUCAUUUUCCUGUUUGAAACAGAAGGCAGUUCCCAUUCCUGUGAGGACUAGCAGUCAUCUUGUGCCCAUGAAGCAGAUUGACUUGAAGAUCCCUAGGAACAGGGGUGAGUACUUGGAAAGAUCAUGGUGAGGACUCUGAGAAAGCUGGUCAGUUGAUUUCCCACAGAGAGGAGACAGAAAAGCACCUCAGAGAUAACCCAGUGCUUGCUGGAUGCUCCUAUACUGUAGACAUUUCAGUAAUAAGAAACAGUAUAUGAUAAUAUGGAUUUAAAUAACUUCCAUGCAAAUACACACUAAUUAAUAUAUUUCAUUUCAAAGUCACAUUUUUGUUAUCAGAGAACAUUACAUUGGCAUUCUGAUUCCAAAGUUAGCAGAUCAAUGGAGCAUUUUUGGACAUGACCCAAGGACAUCAAACCUGUUAUUUUUGAAACCAUAAGACUAUGGCUAAUUGCUAAUUAUUUCAAGCAUUAAGAAGCAUUGCAUGCUCCUGAACCAAGGUCUCUCAUUAGCAGUGCUAAUUUUGCUAGCCUCCACCCCCAGUCUCGACUCCCCCUGCUCUGCUGCUGCCAGAACCCCUCUCUCUGCGGCUGGUUCUGUCUUUUGUGUCUGUGUGAGAACCCUGGAGGAAACAUGGGCCAGAGGAGACAGAAAGCCAAUAUGGCUUACCCAGCCCACCCACCCUUAAACGCUACAUAACAGAGAUUCAUUACAGCCCCCAAUUGCCCAUCCACACCCAGCUGUGCUACUCCAAUUCUUUUCUUUACAUUCAGUUGACAGCUGCUGAUCUAACCUCCACCUAGCAGCUCUAGUCAAAAUGCCAAGCAGAUUUUAAGGUGCAUGAAACUAUUUCCAGGUCUGCUUAGCCAUCUCUUCUUCCAGGAUCCUCCCAUGAUGAAAAUAACUGAUGCUGACCCCGAUAACUAAUUAUCCUUGGCAAUUUACAGCUUUGUCUUUAUUUCUCUUCUGUUGAGUUUCCACACACUGACUCCAUUUUCUGGAGUAUGGACCAGCCAGGCCUUAGUGCAGCGGUUCUCAACCUGUGGGUCAUGACCCCUUUGGAGCUGAAUGACCUUUUCAUAGGGGUCACCUAAGAUCAUCGGAAAACACAGAGAUUUACAUUACAAUUCAUAACAGUAGCAAAAUUACUGUUGUGAAGUAGCAACAAAAAUAAUUUUAUGGUUGGGGGUCACCACAACAUGAGGAACUGUACUAAAGAGUCGCAGCGUUGGGAAGGUUGACUACCAUGCCUUAGUGAAAACAGAAAUCACCUCCAAGUCUCUUUAGAUUAUCUCGGCUUCACCUGUCACCAAAGCCCUCAGUGACUAUGUCCAGCAUUUAGUGAGCUCUGGCCAGGUUUCACUCAGGUGCACCCUGCUGCUUGCUCCUCAUGCUCCACCAAUAUAUCUACAACAUGCCGUGGGACUGAGAGUUGGAGGGCUUUCACUCCUGCUCCUCUCCCAUCCUGAGAGACUCACGUAGCAAACCUCUGACCAAUGUAAGACCAUGGCUCACAAUUAAACUUCCUUUAUGAGUUUCUAAUUAGCAGGUACCUGGUAAGGAGCAGCGUCCGGUAGGGAAGACUCACUUUGGCGCUGUUGAGGGGACAGCACAUCCUGAAGGGGAAGUCAUCGAGGCAUGAGAGGUUCGUGGCUGUGGCAGGAGGAGAGCAAAGCUGCUUGCCCACAUCUCACUGGACCAGGAAGCAGACAGAGAGGACAAGAGCUGUGGAAACAGGGUCCAGAAGAGUUCAGUCCAAGGACACAGAGCCGGCAGGUGAUGAGUCUACAUUCCAGCCCCUCCUUGAUGUGUGUCUCCCCCGCUGGAUUUGUUACACUGAGCAUAAGGCUGCUCCCUUAUUUCUCUGCAAUUUUGUCUUGUCAUGUAAGUCAGCCAAGAACUUUAAGAUAACUCAUCUGUCUCGGCCUCUCUUCAAUCUUCUAGUCUCUCUUCUCAUUGAAACUUGGCUGGCUUCCCAUUCAGGUAAUUUGCUAAAUCAUUAAUACGAUGAUGCAUCCGGCAAGCAGGCAGAAGGAUGGGAUCCAUGGUAAAUCAUCAGGGAUUUAUGUCCAACUUCAUCACUCUUGAUCCAGCAGUAUUGGCUCUCACAUCAUAACAGUCCCUGUUUAUUCCUCUAAUCUAUGAGAGCAGAGAGGAAAUCAUUAGUCACCUUAGCAACAGCCAGACACGCUACAUAAAUCUGAAUUGAGUGUUCUGGCAAGCUUAUCAGAAAGGGAUUCAGGUUUAUGGUGCACAUUUCCCUCUUGGUGGGUUUAUAUCAACACUAAAUUGUCAUUAUUUCUUAAAUAAAUAUAAAUAUACUAGAAUCUUGCUUUGGGGACCCUGCAAACUUGCCAAAUAGAAAUGUCACUUUCCUUCUAAAAAUUUUUAAUCUGUUUCUUUAUACAUGUGUGUGUGUACACAGAGUCCAGAAGGAAACCUUGGAUGCCACUCCUGAGACACUAUUUGUAUUUAUUUACUUUUGAGACAGAGUCUUUCACUGGUUGAUUAGGUUGACCAAUUAGGCUAGGUUGAUUGGCCUAGGAGCCAUAAGGAUCUACCUGUCUCCAGCAUACUCAGCAUUUUUUUUCAUGGAUUCUGAGGAUUGAACUCAGGUCCUUCAUGAUUGCAAGGCCCACUGAGCUCUCACCUCAGGCCCUGUCUAUUUCUUUCUUGACAAUCUUUCCAUUUGUCUUCCAGUCCACAGGGAUCCUUAGGAGGCAUGGCGAUGCUUCUCCAGGGCCAGCUCUCCCUGUGCCCCUCAGGGUUAUGUCUUCAGAUCAGGAGACCUGCAUUUACCUGGGGUGAGAAGCCGCUCAGCAGAACCCAUCUGCCUAGACCUUGAGUUCUCACUCACCAAACUGGUCCUGAUGCUGGCUUAUUCUUUGAAUGAGAGUCAAAUUACAUCAGGGAUGCUGCUUCAUCUUCAGACCAUCCAUGCCGGCUGGCAACGGCUGGGUGCUCGUUGCAUUUUGAGUCUCUCCAUGUUUUUACAGGUCAUUAAGACAUGUGACCAUCAGUAAAGCACUACUUGGCUGCACCCACUCACAGGGCAGAGCCUACAACAUGCACCUUCUCAUCUCCUUUCAUUUCUGAUUUGGUUUUUUAAAAUACUUUAUUUCGACAGUUGGUGAUGGCACACACCUUUAAUCCCAGCACUAGGGAGGCAGAGGCAAGUGGAUUUCUUUAAGUCUAGGCCAGCCUGGUCUACAGAGUGAGUUCCAGAACAGCCAGGGCUAUACAGAGAAACCCUGUCUCAAAAAACAAACAAAAAAAGAAAGGAAGAAAGAAAGAAAGAAAGAAAGAAAGAAGGAAGGAAGGAAGGAAGGAAGGAAGGAAGGAAGGAAGGAAGGAAGGACGGAAGGAAGGCAAGCUCUAUUUCUCUUACUUUAUUUGUAGUUACUGAUAACGCUAUUAAAAUGCACUUCUCAGAACCAGAGAGAUGGCCCAGCAAUUGAGAGCACUUGCUGCACUUCCAGAAGACAGAGAUCUAAUCCUCAGUACCCCAUGGCAGCUCAUAGCCAUUUGUGACUCCAGAGGUCCAAGUGGAGCACUCCCCAUCAUUAGGCCUCCUCCUCUUUAACCAUCAUGGUGCAGUGAAGAGACAGGCCCGUUUCACAGUCCUCAUUUGCCUGACAAGCUUGACUCACAUUGAAUCUGCCCACAGAGGGCAGGAGAGGGGUAGGAAAUAACAUCUGUGAGUGCUAACAUGCUCCGGGGCCAUUCCAUCUUUUUAUCCUCAAGAUGAAUGUUCUGUUUUGAAAUAAAUACUCACAGGAAGUUACAAAAACAGUAAGAGUCCCGUGUAGCCUCUAGCCAGCUUCCUCCAUCUGGGGGACUGGGGGAGGGAAGCAGAAACCCAUGAAACCCAUGUGGAAGGGAAAGGCGGGGUUGAUGUUUUACUUCUCUCUGUCCAAAGAUGACCACUGUGUUAUCAUUCUACUUCUUUACUGGCGCACGAUGUAUUACACUAAAAUAAUUAAUUGAGGGCAUUAGAUUAAGGUGGCCCUGGUACUCAUGAUCCUACCUAAGCAAACCAGUUUCAACCCAGUAUAAACAGUCUUGACCAUUGGGAGACCCAUUGACUUUCAGUGCACCAAAACAAUUAUGGCUGCUCCCCCUUAACCAUCCAGUGAUUCCUUUGCCUUUCACCUGAGCUUCAAAAAAAAAAGUUCUUCCUUUUCCCUAUUUGUUGGAACCCCUAACCAGCAACAAGGUCUGGGGCAAUUGAUUCACAAAUUUCUGUCCCAGCUUACAGAUUGUUCUUACAGCAACUCACAGUUCUGUGUCCUGACAGGCUUAGCUGGAUGGAUCCUCUGACCCUUCAUAAGCUGGGUUUAUAACAGCCUAAGUGGCUUCAGGCACCUAUCCCGGGCUUUGACAGGAAUGGAUAAAAAAUGGGCUUAUUUGGGAUAGUGAGGUGCUUCACCUUUCUGUGGAUUCAGGGGUCUAUGGGGCACCUGUAACUGAGUGCAUGAUAGACAGUCUUAGGCACACAAUGAUGUUGCGCAGGCUCAGUUAUGUUAAAAAAGUAAAUCAAGUUGCAAAGCCAUGUGUCUCUUGUCCUGUGGUCUAUAUUGAAAUAUAUGUUAUGUAUGUACUGGUGUGUAAUGCCUAGGAAGUUACUAAAUAUGAAGAAGGAAGAAGUCUGGAGAAAACAUUAAUGGGAAUGAAGUGUUUUCCUGUGAGGAGAGCUGGGUGCUUGGCAACUGGAACAGAGUGCUGUUUGUCAUUGUUCUUUUGAAUCACUUCAGCUCUGAGUCUUUUGUGCAGUUUGGUAGCUCAAGUUUUGCACCAGAGAAUAGAGCAUGAUUGGGUUCCUCUAAUGGGCUCUAGAGGUCAGGUAAUGGAGAAUCAAGGCAGACAGGGGGUGAGAAGAAAAUUAAAGGACUGCUGUUGAGAUGUCUUCCUGUUGGAUGAUGAAUCAUGUUCACCAUGCAUCUGACAUUUCUUCUUGGCAGUUUGCAGCAAACAGGAAGGAGGAAGAUCGGAUGUCUCUUUAACAGCUUAGAUGAGAAAGACCAGAGUCCUUUGAGUUCAGCAAGAGACAAGGCAAAUACACCCUACCCUCCUCCUGCGCCUUUCACUUCUCUAAGCAAAUGCAAAAACAAAGAGAUAUAUAUAGUGUGAGCGGUGGGCACGCCAUGUGAAAACUCACCAUGUGAAAAGUGCCUCCAUUUUGGAUAAACAACAAUUGUAGAAAACUACAGAAAUUUGGUUCCUGGAAGUCAAGUAACCCAGGCCUCUAGAUCAGUUAUUCUCAAUCUGUGAGUCAAGACCCCUUUGGAGGUCACAUAUCAGAUAUCCUGCAUUUCAGAUAUUUACAUUUAUAGCAGUAGCAAAAUUACAGUUAAGAAAUAGCAAUGAAAUAAUUUUAUGAUUGGGGGUCACCACAAUAUGAGGAAUUAUAUUAAAGGGUCACAGUAUUAGGAAGGUUGAGAACCAUUGCUCUAGCUAGGUUCUUGACUUCCUACCUCAAUAAUGGCUACAUGACGUUCUUCAACUGGCCACUCACAGGUCACCUGCAGCAAUGACCGAUCUUAAUCAAUGAAGGAAACUUUUCCAUCUCCAUCCAUGCCACUUCCUGUGAAUACCAUGGGGAAGGUCCCCACUUGACCAUGCUGCCAUCUGCCUAUGGUGUUCAUAUAUCUUCUAAUAAAUUUCUUCCUCAAAUACCAGUCUACCUCAGUGUCCUCCCUUGAACCCAAACACUUCAUUUAGCUGAAGACCUAAGUAGACACAGACAAUCGGCUUUAAUACCUGAAUAGGAAAUGAUUAGACACAUCUAUGUUUAGACUUAGAGGACAGAGAGAGAUCAUAUAUUUUUUAAAAGUUAAAACAAUACAGAUCUAAAUU